UCCGGUUUGUCACCGGCAGUCUCAUUAGAGUGCCCUUUCGUAGCAACUAAGGGCGAGGGUUGCGCUCGUUGCGGGACUUAACCCAACAUCUCACGACACGAGCUGACGACAGCCAUGCAGCACCUGUGUUACGGCUCUCUUUCGAGCACGCCUCGGUCUCUCGUGGCUUCCGUACAUGUCAAGGGUAGGUAAGGUUUUUCGCGUUGCAUCGAAUUAAUCCACAUCAUCCACCGCUUGUGCGGGUCCCCGUCAAUUCCUUUGAGUUUUAGCCUUGCGGCCGUACUCCCCAGGCGGGGCACUUAAUGCGUUAGCUACGGCACGGAACCCGUUGAUAAGGCCCCACACCUAGUGCCCAACGUUUACGGCGUGGACUAC
Molecule: unclassified non-coding RNA, 375 nt
Filed under: uncultured bacterium
Lineage: Bacteria
Description: contains 16S-23S intergenic spacer region
Source: RNAcentral